AAAAACUGUUGCCAUGACCUUUGCUCUUGACUGGUCCACUUUUGCUUGGACUGAACCGUUUCCACCUCUUGGUAGCCAUUGCUUUGAUUGUGUUUUUGUCUUCAGCACAAUCUGGUAAAGCCAUGGUAAACUGGUAGAGCCAUGUUUCAUUUUCUGAUACAAUUCUUUGAAGAAAUGCUUCAGGAUCUUGAUCCCACUUAUUUAAAAUUGCCUUUGAAAGCUCUGCUCUUGUCUUCAGUUGAUCUGGAUGUAAUGGUUUUGGGACCCCUCAAGUGGAGAGUUUGCUCAAGUUUAAUUUUUUAGUCAGAAUUGUAUAAACUGAAUAAUUUGAGAGGUCUGUGGUGUUGGCUAUUGUUUCUGCUGUUAAUCAUUGGUCCUCCUCAAUUAGGGCAUGAACAAGAUUAAUUUUUUUCCUCACAAAUUGAUGUUGAUGGCCUGCCUCUGUGGGCUCCAUUGUCAACAUCAUCGUGUCCCUUCUUAAAAUGAGUUAUCCAUUUGCAAAUUGCUGAUUUCUUUGGGAUAUUUUCCCCAUAAACUUUUCAUAAAGCAUCAGUGAUUUCACCAUUCCUCCACUCAAGCUUCCACCAUAAGUUUGAUGUUUGUUCUUAGUUCAAUUUUAGCACAAUUAAUGUUGCUCUGAUAGGAGCUCUUUUCAAACUUCUGUCUUAUCCUUUUUAGUGCUUCAAACUAGAUCCUGUUCAACAUGUUAUAAAAGUUAUUAUAAGUUUAUUUUCUUGCAAGAAAGUUUUGAAAUCAACGCAUAGUUUUUUGGGGUUUUUGUUGCUGUUGUUGCUAUUGUUUGUUGUUUUUUGAGACAGGGUCUUGUUCUGUUGCCCAGGCUAGAGUGCGGUGGUGCAAGCAUGGCUCGCUGCAGCCUCAACCUCCUGGGCUCAAGUGAUCCUCCCACCUCUGCCUCCCAAUUGGCUGGGACUACAGUGCAUGUCACCACACUCAGCUAAUUUUUUAAUUUUUUUUUUUUUAGAGACGGUGGGGGGUCUCGCUUUGUUGAUCCAGGCUGGUCUUGAACUCUGGGCCUCAAGCAACCCUCCUACCUCAGCCUCCUGAGUAGCAAGGACUACAGGCUUCUAAAGAAUAGAGGCAAGGAUCUUCAGGGACCACUAGAGAAGAAAUUAUUAUUUGCUCUGGACUUAGUGAAACCUGGAAUCACAGACCUGAGGUCACUUGGAGAAGAAUGCCCAGGUGAGCACAAAUGUUUAAAGUUAAAAAGAUGAAGAUGGCCGAAUAGGAACAGCUCCGGUCUACAGCUCCCAU
RNAcentral lists this long non-coding RNA (1272 nucleotides) under Homo sapiens (human). RNAcentral describes it as "HSALNT0219530". The record is from RNAcentral. Lineage: Eukaryota; Metazoa; Chordata; Mammalia; Primates; Hominidae.